This is a non-coding RNA of Misgurnus anguillicaudatus (oriental weatherfish), 1117 nucleotides long. Lineage: Eukaryota; Metazoa; Chordata; Actinopteri; Cypriniformes; Cobitidae. The record is from RefSeq and is a predicted model, not a curated record.
AUACACGAGUGAGAAGCAGCCCAGACCCUGUGAUAGAUGGAGAAAAAGUGAUAUUAAGCUGUUCAACUGAAUGCACUCUGGAUACCAAACAUACUUACAUCUGGUAUAAGAAUGGACAACAGGUAACAGAUGGAUUGACAUUAUUAAACAAGUUGUACCUGGACUCAAUCAACAGUGAGGAGCUACAAGAGUAUUCAUGUACUGUAAGAGAUACAAUAGACAAAACAAAUGAAGCAGUGGACAGCUCAGUGUUUCUCUCUCUGUUGAUGUUUCUGCCUCAGUUUCUCAUCAUUGAAGCUCUGUGGAUGUGAUGUUGCAGGUCUGUGAGUAGAUCAGCUGUCUGUCCAUCAGAACUACUGGAGUGAUGUCACAACUCUCUUUAUGACAUCAUCACCUAGCAACAGUCUCUCAGCAGUGACAUCAGUGAUGCAGUGAUGUCAUAUACAGUGACAUAUUAAUGACAGCUCAGUGUAAAUAAUCUAAUGUUCAAAUACAUGAAUUAUUCAUUGAAGUAUUGAGUUUAUCAUUCAACAGUCUUGUGUCAGUAUCAGAUCAACUGUAACAUCACAAUGUAUAAAUCCUGUAAAAACUUUGCUAUAGUGCAUCUUUAUGUAGAUGAUACUGUGAUCUACUUUCAUCUUCACUAUAAGUCAGUCUUUUAUUGAACUCAAUGCUGUUUUUAGUUAGGUUAGGAUUUUAUUACAGUGCUGUGCUUUAAUCUUGUAGUUAGGAAAGAAUUUGUUCAGUUUAUUUUAAAAUGUUUUGGACUAUGGGGACAUUAUUUACAUGCAUGCUGCUUUCACUGCAUGGGAAUUACCUGCAUUAUCAUGGGAAAGUUUAAAGCGCUUAUUAAAAGUUCGAAGCUUAUAAAGUUUAUCUGUUAUAAGAGUGUUUUAUUGCUAUUCUCAAGCUGGAUUUUGUAUAAAUACAUUUACAUAACAUUUCAGUAUUUACAAAUAGUAUUAAAAGUCCUUUAUAUUAGUGAAUUUUAACUUUGAUAUCUAUUUUUAUUGUUUUUAAUUUCAUCUUUGUGUAAUAAUGUGUCUUCUCUGCAAGGUUUUACUCAAAAAGAGUUGGGAGACUUAGUAAAAUAAAGAUGAAAUAAAAGUAAAUAUAA